Non-coding RNA from Cydia splendana, 77 nucleotides. NCBI's taxonomy places the organism in Eukaryota, Metazoa, Arthropoda, Insecta, Lepidoptera, Tortricidae. The record is from the annotation of a RefSeq genome assembly.
GCCUCCGUAGCUCAGUUGGUAGCAGCAAUUGGACCAGUGUUACAAGAGGUCGCAAGUUCGAAUCUUGCCGGAGGUCA